RNAcentral lists this unclassified non-coding RNA (583 nucleotides) under uncultured eukaryote. Its description in RNAcentral is "partial contains fungal ITS1, 5.8S rRNA and ITS2". The stretch from base 179 to 332 matches the Rfam family "5.8S ribosomal RNA". The record is from RNAcentral.
UACCUCUUAGGGUUUCCUCUGGGGUAAGUGAUUGCUUCUACACUGUGAAAAUUUGGCUGAGAGACUCAGACUGGUCAUGGGUAGACCUAUCUGGGGUUUGAUCGAUGCCACUCCUGGUUUCAGGAGCACCCUUCAUAAUAAACCUAGAAAUUCAGUAUUAUAAAGUUUAAUAAAAAACAACUUUUAACAAUGGAUCUCUUGGUUCUCGCAUCGAUGAAGAACGUAGCAAAGUGCGAUAACUAGUGUGAAUUGCAUAUUCAGUGAAUCAUCGAGUCUUUGAACGCAGCUUGCACUCUAUGGUUUUUCUAUAGAGUACGCCUGCUUCAGUAUCAUCACAAACCCACACAUAACAUUUGUUUAUGUGGUAAUGGGUCGCAUCGCUGUUUUAUUACAGUGAGCACCUAAAAUGUGUGUGAUUUUCUGUCUGGCUUGCUAGGCAGGAAUAUUACGCUGGUCUCAGGAUCUUUUUCUUUGGUUCGCCCAGGAAGUAAAGUACAAGAGUAUAAUCCAGCAACUUUCAAACUAUGAUCUGAAGUCAGGUGGGAUUACCCGCUGAACUUAAGCAUAUCAAUAAGCGGAGGAA